GAUGAAGAACGUAGCGAAAUGCGAUAAGUAGUGUGAAUUGCAGAAUUCAGUGAAUCAUCGAAUCUUUGAACGCACAUUGCGCCCCUUGGUAUUCCAUGGGGCAUGCCUGUUCGAGCGUCAUUUGUACCUUCAAGCUCCGCUUGGUGUUGGGUGUUUGUCUCGCCUCUGCGUGUAGACUCGCCUCAAAACAAUUGGCAGCCGGCGUAUUGAUUUCGGAGCGCAGUACAUCUCGCGCUUUGCACUCAUAACGACGACGUCCAAAAGUACAUUUUUACACUCUUGACCUCGGAUCAGGUAGGGAUACCCGCUGAACUUAAGCAUAUCAAUAAGCGGAGGA
Molecule: unclassified non-coding RNA, 337 nt
Filed under: soil metagenome
Description: partial contains 5.8S ribosomal RNA, internal transcribed spacer 2, and large subunit ribosomal RNA
Rfam family: 5.8S ribosomal RNA (bases 1-120)
Source: RNAcentral